RNAcentral lists this ribosomal RNA (125 nucleotides) under Felis catus (domestic cat). Lineage: Eukaryota; Metazoa; Chordata; Mammalia; Carnivora; Felidae. The record is from RNAcentral.
GUCUACGGCCAUACCACCCUGAACGUGCCCGAUCUCAUCUGAUCUCGGAAGCUAAGCAGGGUCGGGCCUGGUUAGUACUUGGAUGGGAGAAGUGGCCUAUUCAGAGAGGAGUGGUACCCUAACCU